This 274-nucleotide ribosomal RNA is filed under the name uncultured bacterium. RNAcentral's name for it is "partial 16S ribosomal RNA". It matches the Rfam family "Bacterial small subunit ribosomal RNA", at positions 523 to 796 of the family's 1533-position model. The record is from RNAcentral.
AUACGGAGGGGGCUAGCGUUGUUCGGAAUUACUGGGCGUAAAGCGCGCGCAGGCGGUCUUUUAAGUUGGAUGUGAAAGCCUACAGCUCAACUGUAGAACUGCAUCCAAAACUAUUAGACUAGAGUCUGGGAGGGGAAGAUGGAAUUAGUUGUGUAGGGGUAAAAUCCGUAGAGAUAACUAGGAAUACCAAAAGCGAAGGCGAUCUUCUGGAACAGUACUGACGCUGAGGCGCGAAAGCGUGGGGAGCAAACAGGAUUAGAAACCCGUGUAGUCC